UCCGAUAUGGUGUAGUGGCCAACAUGAUGCCCUCUCAAUUCUGUGGGAGGUUAGGCAUAGCCCCGAGUUCGAUUCUCGGUUUCGGAA
RNAcentral lists this transfer RNA (87 nucleotides) under Colletotrichum acutatum. RNAcentral describes it as "tRNA-Glu". It matches the Rfam family "tRNA". From Rfam's summary of the family: Transfer RNA (tRNA) molecules are approximately 80 nucleotides in length. Their secondary structure includes four short double-helical elements and three loops (D, anti-codon, and T loops). The record is from RNAcentral. Lineage: Eukaryota; Fungi; Ascomycota; Sordariomycetes; Glomerellales; Glomerellaceae.